This 764-nucleotide long non-coding RNA is filed under the name Mytilus galloprovincialis (Mediterranean mussel). The record is from RNAcentral. Lineage: Eukaryota; Metazoa; Mollusca; Bivalvia; Mytilida; Mytilidae.
GUCUCAAAAUAGUUUAUUCAUAUGCAUCUGCUAAUUAGUGAUUAGGAUUAUUUUCUUCUUUUAAUUACCAUUUAUAAAAAAUACAAAUAACAUCCAUUUACAUUUAUUAAAAAAAGAAAGCCAAAAAAAAGGGAGAUAAUCAAAUAUACAUUCUUCAAUAUUAUACUCUUUUGAAAAGGUUGCUCACAGGUCUCACCCUAUUUAAUUUGACAGUAAAUUGUUUAAAUAUUUGUCUGUAUUUUCAAAACAUUUUUCAAGGUCAUGUUAUGAGUUCGAAUAUCAAAGCUAGAUAUUUUUUUUGAGAUGUACUCAUGUUUCAUCAACUGAAACUUGGUCUGUGGUGUCAAAAUGAGGGGUUUUAGGACAUUUUUUAGAAAAUGAAUAUUUAUUCCACAGGAAUUUGGUAUUUAUCAAUCAAAAUUUUUUUUCUUUCUAUUAAACAUAUCAGGAUUCAGAAAAAAAAGAACCUGAUAUUUGAUUUCUUUUGAUAUAUUUUUAGUCUUAUUUUUUCUUUCUGGUCAAGGGAGAUAGCUCCUUUCAUCCUCCUACUUGGAACCAAAAAAUUGUGUGUAUAAGUUUAUCUUAUUUUUGUAAGAAUAACAAACAUUCAAAGAAUUAAAAAAAAACUCAGUCAUUUUUUAUGAUAGUAUUUGUAGUCCAUUUUGGUUAGAAACAAAGAGCUUGUUUUAGUCCUGUUUAUUCUGUAACCGUCCUUUCAGCCAAAAUUAAUGUGAUAGUUUAUACAAUAAAAAAUCUUAUCUGCA